GGGCCGGUGGCGGAACUGGCAGACGCGCGUGGCUUAGGACCACGUGGGGCAACCCGUGGGGGUUCGAGUCCCCCCCGGCCCA
This 82-nucleotide transfer RNA is filed under the name Thermoflexus hugenholtzii JAD2. RNAcentral's name for it is "tRNA_Leu_TAG". It matches the Rfam family "tRNA". From Rfam's summary of the family: Transfer RNA (tRNA) molecules are approximately 80 nucleotides in length. RNAcentral also lists the same sequence under 5 other names. The record is from RNAcentral. Lineage: Bacteria; Bacillati; Chloroflexota; Thermoflexia; Thermoflexales; Thermoflexaceae.